CAUUGAAACACUGGUUCUCAUACAGUCACCAAAGUUAAGCAACAUCGAGCCUGGUCAGUACCUUGAUGGGGGAAUGUUUUGGGAAUACCAGGUGCUGUAAG
This is a non-coding RNA of Acanthosepion pharaonis, 101 nucleotides long. The record is from the annotation of a GenBank genome assembly. Lineage: Eukaryota; Metazoa; Mollusca; Cephalopoda; Sepiida; Sepiidae.